RNAcentral lists this ribosomal RNA (468 nucleotides) under uncultured bacterium. Its description in RNAcentral is "partial 16S ribosomal RNA". It matches the Rfam family "Bacterial small subunit ribosomal RNA", at positions 28 to 507 of the family's 1533-position model. The record is from RNAcentral.
GACGAACGCUGGCGGCGUGCUUAACACAUGCAAGUCGAACGGAAAGGCCCUGCUUUUGUGGGGUGCUCGAGUGGCGAACGGGUGAGUAACACGUGAGUAACCUGCCCUUGACUUUGGGAUAACUUCAGGAAACUGGGGCUAAUACCGGAUAGGAGCUCCUGCUGCAUGGUGGGGGUUGGAAAGUUUCGGCGGUUGGGGAUGGACUCGCGGCUUAUCAGCUUGUUGGUGGGGUAGUGGCUUACCAAGGCUUUGACGGGUAGCCGGCCUGAGAGGGUGACCGGCCACAUUGGGACUGAGAUACGGACCAGAAUGCUACGGGAGGCAGCAGUGGGGAAUAUUGCACAAUGGGCGGAAGCCUGAUGCAGAAACGCCGCGUGCGGGAUGACGGCCUUCGGGUUGUAAACCGCUUUCGCCUGUGACGAAGCGUGAGUGACGGUAAUGGGUAAAGAAGCACCGGCUAACUACGUG